AUCCAUCUAACGAGUCCCAGAUAGGACAAAACGCGCGUCAAACUGGAU
This is a non-coding RNA of Schistosoma mansoni, 48 nucleotides long. The record is from Rfam. NCBI's taxonomy places the organism in Eukaryota, Metazoa, Platyhelminthes, Trematoda, Strigeidida, Schistosomatidae.